GCUGUUGUUGUUGUUCUCCUUUCCCUCGUCGCAAUAAGCGCUCAAGGUUAUCGUUAGCGUUCUUUCCGAGGAGGUGGAGACGUCGUUGUCGUCCCACGGCACAACAAAUACUAAUGAAUGCUGCAAAAUUCCACACACAUACGAGCGACUGC
Long non-coding RNA from Drosophila arizonae, 152 nucleotides. The record is from RefSeq and is a predicted model, not a curated record. NCBI's taxonomy places the organism in Eukaryota, Metazoa, Arthropoda, Insecta, Diptera, Drosophilidae.